UAAGAUUGUGCCUGCACAGGAUAUUUCAUAAGUGAUAGAUGCCUGCUUUACAGAUACAGAAACUGAGGUUCGAUGAGAUCACAUCCUUUGCCGAUAACCCACAGCUCUGGAGCUGAGACUGGUCGCUGGGCAGUGGUGUGCCGGCAAAUGUCUUAAACCUGGCUCUCCAGGGGAGGGGCAGGGCCCGGUUGCAUUUGCUGAAGUCCAUGGUGUAAAUACUUCCACCGUGUCUGAUUUCAAGUCACCAAGAUGACCUCACUGAAUGCGAGGUUCGGAAGGAUGCGUCCCUAGGCUCUGGAAGGAAGCCAGUGUCAGCCAAAUCAGGACCCACUGCCCGGCUACUUCGUAUUCCUUGAUUUUCUUCACUCCGCACUUUGAGUGAAAUAAGUCCUUCUUCGCUUUCCCCUCUAAAUCCCAACUACUUCACUCCACACUGAAUACAUCAGGUGAAAUAACUCCUUCACUUUCCCCCUUCAAAUCCUAUCUCAUACUGAAGAAAACAAUCCGAGCCAAGUCUCUGCACGCCUCUGGGCCUCAGUUUCCCCGUCCAUAGGACGGGAUGACUUCUAAACCCCGGCUCUCCCGCAUCAUCCUUGCCUGAAGUCUGGGAGCGCCGGUCUUGCGCAGUGCCCCUAUCGACCACCAGGGGACAGUCUUUCCCCACCAAAGACGCUGGCCUCUCCAAGUCCCCGUCGGUGUCCUUGGACACAGCCUGGGUAUUGCGGGCCCUGCCUGGCUUAUGAAUCAGCGAUUGUGCCCAGCCCCGAGCGGGCAUUUGCAGAAAGGGCCCAUUGUUUGCAGUGAGGCCUUUUGUUCCAGCAGUGGCCUGGGGAAACUGGGAUUGGGCUGGGGGCCUGAUUGGUUCCCAGGGGCCCCUGGUGGGUGUUGGGGUGUGGACCCAGGCGGACCCCUCUCCGCUCUCCCCGCUGCCCGCCCCAAUCCCAUCUACCAGGCUGCUGUGCUGGGCACUGCUCACCUAUGCCUCAGCUCUGUCCGGGGUUCUCGCCCCUGCAGACCUCCUCUGCCACCCUCUGAGGCCCGGAGCACGUGUUCCCUCCUCCAGGCCAGGGUUCCUGUUACUUCCUUCAGCUUCAUUCAAUCCAACUGCACUUUAAGAGGGGUCACCCAGGGUUCCACGGCCUCCCUGAUCACGAAAGGGGAAUCGCUGCAGCUCCUGGCAGUGGGCAUGGUCUGCUCUGAGGCUCCAGGGCUUCCAACACCUGAAAAUCGGGAUGGCCUUCAACUCAGAAUCACAGGCUAUUCCAGCAUGAUGGAACCCUUGGCCUCAACAUCAUGGGAUGGUUGAAGACACGAAAGUCCUGUUUUGCCCCUUCCAGUUCCUUGGUCACCCCCUAAAACCAUACGGUGGAGAAAUAAAGGAGACAAGGAUGUACAACGUUCCCUUUUCCUCUCAU
Rhinopithecus bieti (black snub-nosed monkey) is the source of this 1415-nucleotide long non-coding RNA. Lineage: Eukaryota; Metazoa; Chordata; Mammalia; Primates; Cercopithecidae. The record is from Ensembl.